AGUGAACGCUGGCGGUAGGCCUAACACAUGCAAGUCGAACGGCAGCACAGUAAGAGCUUGCUCUUACGGGUGGCGAGUGGCGGACGGGUGAGGAAUACAUCGGAAUCUACUUUUUCGUGGGGAUAUCGGAGGGAAACUUACGCUAAUACCGCAAACGACCUACGGGUGAAAGCCGGUGAUCUUCGGCCCUUGCGCGAUUGAAUGAGCCGAUGUCGGAUUAGCUAGUUGGCGGGGUAAAGGCCCACCAAGGCGACGAUCCGUAGCUGGUCUGAGAGGAUGAUCAGCCACACUGGAACUGAGACACGGUCCAGACUCCUACGGGAGGCAGCAGUGGGGAAUAUUGGACAAUGGGCGAAAGCCUGAUCCAGCCAUACCGCGUGGGUGAAGAAGGCCUUCGGGUUGUAAAGCCCUGUUGUUGGGAAAGAAAAGCAGCAGGUUAAUACCCCGCUGUUCUGACGGUACCCAAAGAAUAAGCACCGGCUAACUUCGUG
Molecule: ribosomal RNA, 491 nt
Filed under: uncultured bacterium
Lineage: Bacteria
Description: partial 16S ribosomal RNA
Rfam family: Bacterial small subunit ribosomal RNA
Source: RNAcentral